This 479-nucleotide ribosomal RNA is filed under the name uncultured organism. RNAcentral's name for it is "partial 16S ribosomal RNA". It matches the Rfam family "Bacterial small subunit ribosomal RNA", at positions 330 to 800 of the family's 1533-position model. The record is from RNAcentral.
CGUACACUCCUGCGGGAGGCAGCAGUGGGGAAUUUUGGACAAUGGGCGAAAGCCUGAUCCAGCCAUGCCGCGUGCAGGAUGAAGGCCUUCGGGUUGUAAACUGCUUUUGUACGGAACGAAACGGCCUUUUCUAAUAAAGAGGGCUAAUGACGGUACCGUAAGAAUAAGCACCGGCUAACUACGUGCCAGCAGCCGCGGUAAUACGUAGGGUGCAAGCGUUAAUCGGAAUUACUGGGCGUAAAGCGUGCGCAGGCGGUUAUGUAAGACAGUUGUGAAAUCCCCGGGCUCAACCUGGGAACUGCAUCUGUGACUGCAUAGCUAGAGUACGGUAGAGGGGGAUGGAAUUCCGCGUGUAGCAGUGAAAUGCGUAGAUAUGCGGAGGAACACCGAUGGCGAAGGCAAUCCCCUGGACCUGUACUGACGCUCAUGCACGAAAGCGUGGGGAGCAAACAGGAUUAGAUACCCUAGUAGUCCCAUGA